ACAAUCCUCGCUUUGGUUGGGCUC
This 24-nucleotide non-coding RNA is filed under the name Mus musculus (house mouse). Lineage: Eukaryota; Metazoa; Chordata; Mammalia; Rodentia; Muridae. The record is from RNAcentral.